CCUACGGGGGGCAGCAGUGAGGAAUAUUGGUCAAUGGACGAGAGUCUGAACCAGCCAAGUAGCGUGAAGGAUGACUGCCCUAUGGGUUGUAAACUUCUUUUAUAUAGGAAUAAAAUGUUCCACGUGUGGGAUUUUGUCUGUACCAUAUGAAUAAGGAUAGGAUAACUCCGGGCCAGCAGCCGCGGGAAUACGGAGGAGCCGAGCGUUAUCCGGCUUUAUUGGUUUUAAAGGGAGCGUAGGUGGAUUGUUAAGUCAGUUGUGAAAGUUUGAGGCUCAACCGUAAAAUUGCAGUUGAAACUGGCAGUAUUGAGUACAGUAGAGGUGGGCGGAAUUCGUGGUGUAGCGGUGAAAUGCUUAGAUAUCACGAAGAACUCCGAUUGCGAAGGCAGCUCACUGGACUGCAACUGACACUGAGGCUCGAAAGUGUGGGUAUCAAACAGGAUUAGAUACCCGGGUAGUC
RNAcentral lists this ribosomal RNA (460 nucleotides) under uncultured bacterium. RNAcentral's name for it is "partial 16S ribosomal RNA". It matches the Rfam family "Bacterial small subunit ribosomal RNA", at positions 338 to 795 of the family's 1533-position model. The record is from RNAcentral.